CAGUAGCCACGGGAAUACGAAGGGUGCAAGCGUUAAUCGGAAUUACUGGGCGUAAAGGGUGCGUAGGCGGUUCGUUAAGUCUGUCGUGAAAUCCCCGGGCUCAACCUGGGAAUGGCGAUGGAUACUGGCGAGCUAGAGUGUGUCAGAGGAUGGUGGAAUUCCCGGUGUAGCGGUGAAAUGCGUAGAGAUCGGGAGGAACAUCAGUGGCGAAGGCGGCCAUCUGGGACAACACUGACGCUGAAGCACGAAAGCGUGGGGAGCAAACAGGAUUAGAUACCCCUGUAGUCCCUGUCUCUUAUAC
RNAcentral lists this ribosomal RNA (301 nucleotides) under uncultured bacterium. Its description in RNAcentral is "partial 16S ribosomal RNA". It matches the Rfam family "Bacterial small subunit ribosomal RNA", at positions 509 to 807 of the family's 1533-position model. The record is from RNAcentral.